RNAcentral lists this small nuclear RNA (107 nucleotides) under Fukomys damarensis (Damara mole-rat). The record is from RNAcentral. Lineage: Eukaryota; Metazoa; Chordata; Mammalia; Rodentia; Bathyergidae.
GGGCUCACUUUGGCAGCACAUAUACUGACACUGAAAAGAUGCAGAAGCAAUUAACAAGGCCCCUGCCCAAGGAUGACAUACAAAUUCUUAUCUUUAAGAAAAUGUGG